RNAcentral lists this ribosomal RNA (415 nucleotides) under Mycobacterium tuberculosis. RNAcentral's name for it is "partial 23S ribosomal RNA". It matches the Rfam family "Bacterial large subunit ribosomal RNA", at positions 435 to 854 of the family's 2925-position model. Lineage: Bacteria; Bacillati; Actinomycetota; Actinomycetes; Mycobacteriales; Mycobacteriaceae. The record is from RNAcentral.
UGUCUGAAUAUGGGGGGACCAUCCUCCAAGGCUAAAUACUCCUGACUGACCGAUAGUGAACCAGUACCGUGAGGGAAAGGCGAAAAGAACCCCGGCGAGGGGAGUGAAAAAGAACCUGAAACCGUGUACGUACAAGCAGUGGGAGCACCUUCGGGUGUGACUGCGUACCUUUUGUAUAAUGGGUCAGCGACUUAUAUUCUGUAGCAAGGUUAACCGUAUAGGGGAGCCGCAGGGAAACCGAGUCUUAACUGGGCGUUAAGUUGCAGGGUAUAGACCCGAAACCCGGUGAUCUAGCCAUGGGCAGGUUGAAGGUUGGGUAACACUAACUGGAGGACCGAACCGACUAAUGUUGAAAAAUUAGCGGAUGACUUGUGGCUGGGGGUGAAAGGCCAAUCAAACCGGGAGAUAGCUGGUU